AACGAACGCUGGCGGCAUGCCUAACACAUGCAAGUCGAACUAGACCUUCGGGUCUAGUGGCGCACGGGUGCGUAACGCGUGGGAACCUGCCCUUAGGUUCGGAAUAACUCCCCGAAAGGGGUGCUAAUACCGGAUAAUGUCUUCGGACCAAAGAUUUAUCGCCUUUGGAUGGGCCCGCGUUGGAUUAGCUAGUUGGUAGGGUAAAAGCCUACCAAGGCGACGAUCCAUAGCUGGUCUGAGAUGAUGAUCAGCCACACUGGGACUGAGACACGGCCCAGACUCCUACGGGAGGCAGCAGUGGGGAAUAUUGGACAAUGGGCGAAAGCCUGAUCCAGCAAUGCCGCGUGAGUGAUGAAGGCCUUAGGGUUGUAAAGCUCUUUUACCCGGGAUGAUAAUGACAGUACCGGGAGAAUAAGCUCCGGCUAACUCCGUG
RNAcentral lists this ribosomal RNA (433 nucleotides) under uncultured bacterium. RNAcentral's name for it is "partial 16S ribosomal RNA". It matches the Rfam family "Bacterial small subunit ribosomal RNA", at positions 29 to 507 of the family's 1533-position model. The record is from RNAcentral.